RNAcentral lists this long non-coding RNA (361 nucleotides) under Setaria viridis. RNAcentral's name for it is "long non-coding RNA (SVIR_LNC006396)". The record is from RNAcentral. Lineage: Eukaryota; Viridiplantae; Streptophyta; Magnoliopsida; Poales; Poaceae.
GGAGACUGUUGGAGGUAUGCCCUAGAGGCAAUCAUAGAGAUGAUGAUAUUCCAUUUGUAUCCAUGAUUUGUAUGUUGUGUUCAUUGAAUAUCCAUUGAAGGCUACUUGAAUUGAUUUGCAAUUAUGUGAAUUGUAUGUGAAACUCUUUACUUGUAUGGUUAUUCUAAAGUUGUCCCUAGUCGGAGUUCAUGUGAGGACACACAUGAAUAUUAGACUAGCACAUGUAUUACUUGAUGACUAUGUUUCACAAGUCAUGGACAUGGAGAUGUUGAACUAAUAAUGUGGACACAUGUGGAGACAUGUGCUAGGACUGACCCAACACGAGAAGUAGUUCUCUUUUUAAAACAACAUAUACUCUUUG